GAGGACUCCGCGCAGCGCGGAGCAGGAGCUGCGCCGAGCCCAGCGAGGAAAGAGCGCCGCGCAGCCCCGCCGCAGAAGGAAGGAGUGAAGUACUGAACCCUUCCAGUGUACCAAGCUUAAUUGCCUACAUCACCUUCAUGCACGGGUACUCUCUCAGUCCCCACUUCAGAGGUGAAGAAACCAUGGGACAGAGGGGACAGUGACUUGCCCAAGGUCACACAGCAGGAAGAGCUUGGCCCGGGGCUUGCAGGGACCUAGCCGGAGCUGACCUGUGGCAGACCAUCAGGGUGACCUUCAACCGCAAAGCUGCUGUCCACGUGGACUGGGGCUCAGAUCGUGCGCCCAUCCGCCAGGACCCCCACAUCCAAACUCCGAGACAUGGCGACCAAUGGCAGCAAGGUGGCGCCGGGGGCAGAUCUCCACAGAAGUCAGUGAGGACCCCCUUGGCCAAGCGACAAGCCCAAAACCCUGGUGGUCAAGGUGCAGAAGAAGGCCGGGGACCUUCCCGAUCGAGAUACAUGGAAGGGCCGCUUCGACUUCCUCAUGUCCUGUGUGGGCCUACGCCAUUGGCCUGGGCAAUGUCCGGGAGGUUCCCCUACCUCUGUGGGAAGAAUGGCGGGGGGGCCUUCCUGAUCCCCUACUUCCUGGCGCUCAUCUUUGCGGGGUCCCGCUCUUUCAUGCUGGAGUGCUCCCCUGGGCCAGUACACGUCCAUCGGGGGGCUUGGGUGUGUGGAAGCUGGCCCCCCCAUGUUCAAGG
Molecule: long non-coding RNA, 757 nt
Filed under: Heterocephalus glaber (naked mole-rat)
Lineage: Eukaryota; Metazoa; Chordata; Mammalia; Rodentia; Bathyergidae
Description: lncRNA (ENSHGLG00000040306.1)
Source: RNAcentral